CCUACGGGGGGCAGCAGUGAGGAAUAUUGGUCAAUGGACGAGAGUCUGAACCAGCCAAGUAGCGUGAAGGAUGACUGCCCUAUGGGUUGUAAACUUCUUUUAUAUGGGAAUAAAAUGUUCCACGUGUGGGAUUUUGUAUGUACCAUAUGAAUAAGGAUCGGCUAACUCCGUGCCAGCAGCCGCGGUAAUACGGAGGAUCCGAGCGUUAUCCGGAUUUAUUGGGUUUAAAGGGAGCGUAGGUGGAUUGUUAAGUCAGUUGUGAAAGUUUGCGGCUCAACCGUAAAAUUGCAGUUGAAACUGGCAGUCUUGAGUACAGUAGAGGUGGACGGAAUUCGUGGUGUAGCGGUGAAAUGCUUAGAUAUCACGAAGAACUCCGAUUGCGAAGGCAGUUCACUGGACUGCAACUGACACUGAGGCUCGAAAGUGUGGGUAUCAAACAGGAUUAGAUACCCUUGUAGUC
RNAcentral lists this ribosomal RNA (460 nucleotides) under uncultured bacterium. Its description in RNAcentral is "partial 16S ribosomal RNA". It matches the Rfam family "Bacterial small subunit ribosomal RNA", at positions 338 to 795 of the family's 1533-position model. The record is from RNAcentral.